GACGAACGCUGGCGGCGUGCCUAAUACAUGCAAGUCGAACGAACUCUGGUAUUGAUUGGUGCUUGCAUCAUGAUUUACAUUUGAGUGAGUGGCGAACUGGUGAGUAACACGUGGGAAACCUGCCCAGAAGCGGGGGAUAACACCUGGAAACAGAUGCUAAUACCGCAUAACAACUUGGACCGCAUGGUCCGAGUUUGAAAGAUGGCUUCGGCUAUCACUUUUGGA
Molecule: ribosomal RNA, 225 nt
Filed under: uncultured bacterium
Lineage: Bacteria
Description: partial 16S ribosomal RNA
Rfam family: Bacterial small subunit ribosomal RNA
Source: RNAcentral